Molecule: long non-coding RNA, 166 nt
Organism: Salarias fasciatus (jewelled blenny)
Lineage: Eukaryota; Metazoa; Chordata; Actinopteri; Blenniiformes; Blenniidae
Exons: 3
Source: RefSeq, a predicted model, not a curated record
CUCGUCUUCAAAACACUGAUGAUCCUUCAGGUUGUAUCUCUCUACUGUACAAUCGUCAUCUUUGAGUGCUGGUUCAGAUGGAGACAUUACCGCAAACAAGUGAAGGACUCACCAGAAGCAGAUGACGUCAAAGUGAUUGAAAGUCCAGCAUAAUGGGCCACAAGGA